GAUGAAGAACGCAGCGAAAUGCGAUAAGUAAUGUGAAUUGCAGAAUUCAGUGAAUCAUCGAAUCUUUGAACGCACAUUGCGCCCGCCAGUAUUCUGGCGGGCAUGCCUGUUCGAGCGUCAUUUCAACCCUCAGGCCCCGCCUGGCGUUGGGGAUCGGCGCGGCCCUCUCCGGGCUGCCGGCCCCGAAAACUAGUGGCGGUCUCGCUGUAGUCCUCCUCUGCGCAGUAGCAACGCUCGCACUGGAACUCGGCGCGGCCACGCCGUAAAACACCCCACUUCUGAAAGUUGACCUCGGAUCAGGUAGGAAUACCCGCUGAACUUAAGCAUAUCAAUAAGCGGAGGA
This 343-nucleotide unclassified non-coding RNA is filed under the name soil metagenome. RNAcentral's name for it is "partial contains 5.8S ribosomal RNA, internal transcribed spacer 2, and large subunit ribosomal RNA". The stretch from base 1 to 120 matches the Rfam family "5.8S ribosomal RNA", at positions 35 to 154 of the family's 154-position model. The record is from RNAcentral.